UAGGGAAUCUUGCGCAAUGGGCGAAAGCCUGACGCAGCGACGCCGCGUGGGGGAAGAAGGCCUUCGGGUCGUAAACCCCUGUCGGAGGGGAAGAAGGACGUGACGGUACCCUCCAAGGAAGCCCCGGCUAACUACGUGCCAGCAGCCGCGGUAAUACGUAGGGGGCGAGCGUUGUCCGGAAUCACUGGGCGUAAAGGGAGUGUAGGCGGCCGCUUAAGUCCUGUGUGAAAGGCCCCCGGCUUAACCGGGGAGGGUCAUGGGAAACUGGGCGGCUUGAGUGCCGGAGAGGGGCAUGGAAUUCCGCGUGUAGCAGUGAAAUGCGUAGAUAUGCGGAGGAACACCGAUGGCGAAGGCAAUCCCCUGGGCCUGCACUGACGCUCAUGCACGAAAGCGUGGGGAGCAAACAGGAUUAGAUACCC
This 419-nucleotide ribosomal RNA is filed under the name uncultured bacterium. RNAcentral's name for it is "bacterial SSU rRNA". It matches the Rfam family "Bacterial small subunit ribosomal RNA", at positions 355 to 787 of the family's 1533-position model. The record is from RNAcentral.